RNAcentral lists this ribosomal RNA (473 nucleotides) under Mimagoniates rheocharis. RNAcentral describes it as "LSU rRNA". It matches the Rfam family "Bacterial large subunit ribosomal RNA", at positions 1835 to 2509 of the family's 2925-position model. Lineage: Eukaryota; Metazoa; Chordata; Actinopteri; Characiformes; Stevardiidae. The record is from RNAcentral.
AAAUCAAAGUAUAAGAGGUCCUACCUGCCCAGUGACAUUAAGUUAAACGGCCGCGGUAUUUUGACCGUGCUAAGGUAGCGCAAUCACUUGUCUUUUAAAUGAAGACCUGUAUGAAUGGUGGAACGAGGGCUUAACUGUCUCCCUUUUCAGGUCAGUGAAAUUGAUCUGCCCGUGCAGAAGCGGACAUAAAAAUACAAGACGAGAAGACCCUUUGGAGCUUAAGACACAAGAUCAACUAUGUCAAAAACCCUGAUAAAAGGAUAUUUAACAAAAUAUUAACUGAUCAAAGUCUUCGGUUGGGGCGACCACGGGGGAAAAUAAAGCCCCCAUGUGGAAUGGGAUAAAACCUAAAACCACGAGGGACACCUCUAAGUCACAGAACAUCUGACCAAAAGAUCCGGCACCAGAGCCGAUCAACGAACCAAGUUACCCUAGGGAUAACAGCGCAAUCCCCUCCAAGAGUCCAUAUCGAC